RNAcentral lists this ribosomal RNA (253 nucleotides) under uncultured bacterium. RNAcentral's name for it is "partial 16S ribosomal RNA". It matches the Rfam family "Bacterial small subunit ribosomal RNA", at positions 524 to 776 of the family's 1533-position model. The record is from RNAcentral.
UACGGGGGGGGCAAGCGUUGUUCGGAAUUACUGGGCGUAAAGGGCGCGUAGGCGGUUUGCUAAGUUGAAUGUGAAAACUCUGGGCUUAACCCAGAGCCUGCAUUCAAUACUGGCAGGCUAGAGUUCUGGAGGGGAUAGCGGAAUUCCUGGUGUAGCGGUGAAAUGCGCAGAUAUCAGGAGGAACACCGGUGGCGAAGGCGGUUCUCUGGGCAUUACCUGACGCUGAGGAGCGAAAGUGUGGGGAGCGAACAGG